RNAcentral lists this ribosomal RNA (492 nucleotides) under uncultured bacterium. RNAcentral describes it as "partial 16S ribosomal RNA". It matches the Rfam family "Bacterial small subunit ribosomal RNA", at positions 29 to 507 of the family's 1533-position model. The record is from RNAcentral.
AGUGAACGCUGGCGGUAGGCCUAACACAUGCAAGUCGAACGGCAGCACAGUAAGAGCUUGCUCUUACGGGUGGCGAGUGGCGGACGGGUGAGGAAUACAUCGGAAUCUACUUUUUCGUGGGGGAUAACGUAGGGAAACUUACGCUAAUACCGCAUACGACCUACGGGUGAAAGCAGGGGAUCUUCGGACCUUGCGCGAUUGAAUGAGCCGAUGUCGGAUUAGCUAGUUGGCGGGGUAAAGGCCCACCAAGGCGACGAUCCGUAGCCGGUCUGAGAGGAUGAUCAGCCACACUGGAACUGAGACACGGUCCAGACUCCUACGGGAGGCAGCAGUGGGGAAUAUUGGACAAUGGUCGCAAGCCUGAUCCAGCCAUACCGCGUGGGUUAAGAAGGCCUUCGGGUUGUAAAGCCCUUUUGUUGGGAAAGAAAAGCAGCAGGUUAAUACCCCGCUGUUCUGACGGUACCCAAAGAAUAAGCACCGGCUAACUUCGUG